This 341-nucleotide ribosomal RNA is filed under the name uncultured Latescibacterota bacterium. RNAcentral's name for it is "bacterial SSU rRNA". It matches the Rfam family "Bacterial small subunit ribosomal RNA", at positions 29 to 351 of the family's 1533-position model. The record is from RNAcentral. Lineage: Bacteria; Pseudomonadati; Candidatus Latescibacterota.
AACGAACGCUGGCGGCGUGGAUUAGGCAUGCAAGUCGAACGCGAAAGAGGGGGCAACCCCUCGAGUAGAGUGGCGAACGGGUGAGUAACGCGUGAAGAACCUGCCUUCGAGAGGGGGAUAACACUCCCAACGGGGUGCUAAUACCGCAUGAGACCACGGGUCCACCUGGACCUGAGGUCAAAGGUGGCCUCUGCUUGCAAGCUACCGCUCGAAGAUGGCUUCGCGUCCCAUUAGCUAGUUGGCGGUGUAACGGACCACCAAGGCGACGAUGGGUAGCUGGUCUGAGAGGAUGGUCAGCCACACUGGGACUGAGAUACGGCCCAGACUCCUACGGGUGGCAG